This 369-nucleotide ribosomal RNA is filed under the name Blastocystis hominis. RNAcentral describes it as "SSU rRNA". It matches the Rfam family "Eukaryotic small subunit ribosomal RNA", at positions 569 to 948 of the family's 1831-position model. Lineage: Eukaryota; Bigyra; Opalinata; Blastocystidae. The record is from RNAcentral.
AGCAGCCGCGGUAAUUCCAGCUCCAAUAGCGUAUAUUAACGUUGUUGCAGUUAAAAAGCUCGUAGUUGAAGUGUGGGUGAUCGCUGUUGUGAGACUUCGGUCUCUCGACAGUAAGUCACCCCCUUCCAGUAUCCAGUAGUGGGUAUUCACUUACUUACUAUUGUGUGUUGGUCCUUUACUGUGAGAAAAUUAGAGUGUUCAAAGCAGGCGUUUGCUUGAAUAGAUUAGCAUGGAAUAAUAAUUGAAGGCUUUCGUGUUCGAUUUGAUUGGUUUGUUCAUGGAAGCAAGGUUAAAAGGAACAGUUGGGGGUAUUCAUAUUCACUAGUUAGAGGUGAAAUUCUCGGAUUUAUGGAAGAUGAACAAGUGCGA